Molecule: long non-coding RNA, 2077 nt
Organism: Syngnathoides biaculeatus (alligator pipefish)
Lineage: Eukaryota; Metazoa; Chordata; Actinopteri; Syngnathiformes; Syngnathidae
Exons: 4
Source: RefSeq, a predicted model, not a curated record
CCCCCCCCCCCCCCCCUCGAAAAUGCGCCCGCCUCACCCUCCUGCCCGCGUCCGGACACAAAGGCAGGAAGGAAAGGAGGAAAAAGCCUGCCGGAGCCGUAAGGACGUGGCCGAGGGACGUAAAGUGCGAUUCGUGCAUCUUAUGUAUAAUGCAAGAAUAUAUUACAUGCAUGGAUCAUAAAGGAUCACAUGCAGGGGCGAAUCCAGCUGCUCCACACAUGGCAGGGCAAGCACGAAUGUUGGAAUCGCAAGCAAUUACAUAAAAUUGGAUAACUUCCCACGGCACACUAAAGUACCCCGGCGCACUGUUUGGGAAUCACUGGUCUAAGUGCUCCACGGCUCGGCCUGUGCCUCCAAAUCUCGUCUUCCGCACGCCUGGCUGCACUCAUCGAUCAAGUGUCAGCUUUCCACCUGAGGAGGUGACCUCCGCUGCCCGCAGGCACGACUCAGUGACCUUUCCUUGAAGCCCCUUCGCUGUAGAGUUCCAAUCAAUCACAGGAGUCGCAGGUGGAAGCGCGUUUACGCGUGGAGAAGCUGAACGUGAUUCGCGAUGUUAUAUUUGACACCGUCGGGCCCGAGCUGUACAUCGCGCUGACCCGAUGCAGACUACACUAUGCAAAAAGCUCACCCGUGUCGGAUUUGGGAGAAUAAGAAGGACUUACUUUCUGUCUGUUUCUGGAGUGGAGACGUCGCUGCUGAAGCCCAGGGACUCCUGAAGAAGAGGCAGAUAUUUUUCCACAAUCACAGCUGGCCGUUUUCAAACGUUUCCGGCACCAAAAUUGAAACAAGCUGCCAGGUAUGCCGGCAGCAAGCGGAGGAGGACGAAAGACGUCAAAAGAUAAGCACAUCCUUUGCAGACCUCUGCCUCUGGAGCAAUAAAUCUGGAUAAAUUGGCCAGCUGUGAGGCAGGUCUCCCACCCGGUGUCAGAGGGCAGGACAGUAUACAUCUCCCCCACCUUUCUUUCUCAACACAACCACACGACUUUUACACACCAUUCACAUCUUCAGAGCCACACCAGGCCAAAUUAACACCUCUUAGCUUGACGCAGGGCGCAAGUGGCUGCGAGCACAUUUGCUUGGCAUAUCAAACGGCUGGGACAAAAAAACAAAAAAAAAAAAAAAAUAAUAACAAUGGGUCAGUGUUUUGCAUUAGAAAAAGCGAACAUUUGCUCGAUGAAUGAAAACACACAUCCUGCAUAUUGUACGGACUUAAAAGUAAUUUAUGUCGUCUUUUUUUUUUUUUUAUAGCAUUAAACAUAAGUCCAAGUGCCUGAAUCUCACUGGCGGCUGACGUCUACAUUAGGUUUUUGUUUGUUUUUUUUCCCCGUUCACACGGAUACUUUGGCACGCAGGCAGGAAAACUACAUUACAGCACUUCCGAGUGUGCAGUAGGUGACAACUACGUGCUUAUUUUUCAAUUAAUAUUAUAUUCUACCAAUCCUGAAAUCCCCUUUUUUAAAGAUUGAUAAAGUUGGUAAAUGAGUGAACAAUACCCUGCUAAAAAUUUUCUAUAAAACAUUUCUUGAGACUUUCUAAAGAACUAUAGAACUUUAGGACCCAAGUCCUAUAGAAUUUUUACAUAAAUUAUAUUUUGUAGAAUUUCUAAAGAAAAUCACAGCCAAAGUUCUAUAGAAUUCUAUCGAAAAUUUUAGCAUUAUGAUGUGAUGGUAACAAUCCAUAUACAUUGGCUAAAGUCUUAUGAACUGUCACUGUUAAUUAUAUUGUAUGGUAAUUUUUAAAAACGUUAGUGAACCGAUUAAUGAAAACAAAUAUGUAUAGAGAUGCAAAGUUUACAAAGAGAUGCGCAGCUUAUUUUGUUUGCUCACUGAGCUUGCAAGAUGGUUCACGCCACAAAAUGGCCGCAGCGUCGAUUGGCUCGGUCCUGGAACGUCACGUGAAUAUUAAAUUGGCUGCAAACAAAAGCAUUUUUAGGUGCUGUUUUGUUUUUUUUUUUUUUCUUAAAGUCUGUUGUUCUUUCCAGAAGCUUCCGCGUGGAAUGACAACGAUGCAAAGCACUUCAACGCACAACUCAUUUCAGAUCGCAGCACCUGAUGGACUCAAGUCGAGGGACUUGGAA